RNAcentral lists this unclassified non-coding RNA (346 nucleotides) under soil metagenome. RNAcentral's name for it is "partial contains 5.8S ribosomal RNA, internal transcribed spacer 2, and large subunit ribosomal RNA". The stretch from base 1 to 120 matches the Rfam family "5.8S ribosomal RNA", at positions 35 to 154 of the family's 154-position model. The record is from RNAcentral.
GAUGAAGAACGUAGCGAAAUGCGAUAAGUAAUGUGAAUUGCAGAAUUCAGUGAAUCAUCGAAUCUUUGAACGCACAUUGCGCCCGCCAGUAUUCUGGCGGGCAUGCCUGUUCGAGCGUCAUUUCAACCCUCAAGCCCAGCUUGGUGUUGGGGAUCGGCACAGGCGCCCUCGGGCGCCCGCCGGCCCCUAAAUCUAGUGGCGGACCCGUCGUGGCCUCCUCUGCGAAGUAGUGAUAUUCCGCAUCGGAGAGCGAUGAGCCCCUGCCGUUAAACCCCCAACUUUCCAAGGUUGACCUCAGAUCAGGUAGGAAUACCCGCUGAACUUAAGCAUAUCAAUAAGCGGAGGA